This 237-nucleotide long non-coding RNA is filed under the name Brassica napus (rape). RNAcentral describes it as "long non-coding RNA (BNAP_LNC004433)". Lineage: Eukaryota; Viridiplantae; Streptophyta; Magnoliopsida; Brassicales; Brassicaceae. The record is from RNAcentral.
CAGGGGCGGAGGCAUGUUAAGGGUAGGGGGGUCAGCUGACCCCGGUCAAUUUUAAUUAUCAACAACGUUUUCUAAUAAUAUUUAGUAUUGACGCCAGUCAAAAAUUUCUCCUGACCCCUAUGUAUUUGAAACCUACUUUAAUCUUACUGAAAGUUUAUGCAUUUCAUCACUAUAUCCAUGUAAGUGGUAUAGAUAACGUAAAUAAGUUUGCAAAAGUAAUAAAAAAGUGUAUUUGUG